This 904-nucleotide long non-coding RNA is filed under the name Sorghum bicolor (sorghum). RNAcentral describes it as "long non-coding RNA (SBIC_LNC009554)". The record is from RNAcentral. Lineage: Eukaryota; Viridiplantae; Streptophyta; Magnoliopsida; Poales; Poaceae.
CCCCUGUCCUUCUGUCUUCCGCCUCGAUCCACGCAGCCUCCUUCCAGAGUGCCGCACGCGCCAGCAGCGAAACCUGCGCCAUACAAAAAAUCACGGCCAAGUAAAAAAAGCCGUAGGCCACAGGAAUCAAACCCCGGCCCUCGCCCGCGAGCGUCUUGACACCAGCCCCGAUAACCAUUAGAACAAAGAAUGUUUCAUGUCUGGGUACACCCGCGCCUCUAUUUAAUGAGGGCAAAACCAGAAGAUUACCCCCUAAUUAAUGACUCCUUGGUAAGCACAAUCAUGUCUUAAACGUCAUGUAUUUCUAGUAUGGAGGGAGUAUGCCUUUACCCACAGGUCAAUCAAUUUUGUUGUAAACAGUGUCCUUUACAGCUUAGGUUGAUGGCACACGGAAGGGACCCUAUAGUAUUAAUGAGAUCGAGCUAUGACAUUUAUGCAAUGCUACCAUCUUUAUCUGGCCCCAUAAUAAUUAGGUGAGCUUACAUCAAUAAGAUAUUGAGUGUGUGACCCAUGAUUUUUUCUUCCAAGACCAAUAGAGUUUAUGAAAUCUGUCAAUUAUCGGAGUUCUAGGAAAUGACGCAAGAUAAUAGUUUAAAAUUUAAAAAUGUUGCAUUUUGCUUCAUAUUUCAGGUUGACCGGUCGGUUACAUAGGGCCGGGAGCUAAUGUUCACAUUGGACAUAGUGGGUUUGUAACAUUUGUGAUUAGAUUAGAUUAGAUUAGAUUAGAUUAGAUUAGGUCAAGUCAGCUUUGCAUAAAGUUUGGAGAUAGGUUUGAUGUUGGUCAAGAUGUGGAGUUUUCCCAUAUAUAAAAGGAUCAAAAUACAUCCCAUCUCAUUAUGUAAUAAAUAGAUCCAAGUGCUCAGUUGCACAAAAUUGAUUUUAGGAGGUAACAACUUCGGUUUUC